Long non-coding RNA from Mytilus californianus (California mussel), 2274 nucleotides. RefSeq lists it as uncharacterized. The transcript is spliced from 4 exons. The record is from RefSeq and is a predicted model, not a curated record. Lineage: Eukaryota; Metazoa; Mollusca; Bivalvia; Mytilida; Mytilidae.
UCAAAAUAAGCUUAUCAUUUCGACUUAUGGUACUAUCAAAGAACUUAACUUGCAAAAUGGAGAAGAAUUGGAACUUCAGACUGACCUUCAUAGCUUUAUCUAUUCUGUAGACUAUGAUUAUAGAAAUGGAUAUAUAUAUUUUUCAAGAUAUACAAAAAAUGAUAUACAAAGAUUUCGAUAUCCACCAGGACAAAUGGCGGAUUUAGUACCUGUUACUUUUGCAAGCAGACCAGUAGGAUUGGUGAUUGACAUUUUAUAUAACCAUGUGUAUUGGACAGAACGAUCCACCGGGAAACUUUGUAGAUGUAAUUUAGAUGGGUCACUAAAAUCAGUUAUAUUGCAGGAUGAUCCACUCUUUGCUCUCACAUUUGAUUAUCGGAACAGAUGGCUGUAUUACAGUACGGAUGGUACAGAAAAAUCAAUUAGGCGAUUGAAACUUAACAGUUCUGAAAAUCAAACAAUCAUAAAUGUUCAAUCAGAACUAGUUACUGGUAUGAGCAUUGAUAAUGAUAAAGAUCGCCUUUAUUGGAUGGAAUUCAAUAAUGGAUUCUUGAAAUCAUCAACAUUAAAUGGAAGUAGUGUCAUAACGGUUUUAAACACAAAUACAAACAAUAAAAACCAAGAUAUCCAUGUGUACCGAGGCAACGUGUACUGUGCAAAUGGUAAUUCUUUACUUAAUGUGACACCAGGAGUAUCAGCGCAUGUCAUUUGCAAUAAUACAGGAAUAAUAUAUAGUGUAUUUAUUCAUGAUGAAUACCAUGAAAUACGUACGUAUACUUAAUAUAUUCGAUAUUCUAAUUGUUUUUAAAAGGAUUUAUGAAAAGUAUUUUUAAGUGAUAAAUCUAAAUUUUGUUAAAAAUAGAAAUUUAAAACAGGUUUAUACUUCUUAAUUUUAAAUUGAUUAACAAUUGAAUAAAUUAAGAUGAUUCACUGCAUUUAGUAAUAUCAUUAAUUUUAGACAAACGACGAUGGAGUAUCUCAUUGAAGUAGAUUACGUUUUAUAUUUCUUAUUGUAAUGAUUCAUCAAUGUGUUUUAGCAUUAAUCUUACAGUUAGCAGUGAUUAUGUUCAUUUGGUUUGAUAUUCGACAGGAAAUGUAUUAUUUAACACAAUUAUGUUUUCACAUUCUUUAUUUACUUUUUCUCAAUUAUGUAAAUAUGUGUACUUGCUAGCUUAACUGAUCGCUGUUUUCAUCCAUGCAAAUUGUUUUUUACUAAAUACUUACAAAGUAACAUAACAAAAAUACCGAUCUCCAGGGAAAAUUCAAAACGGAAAGUCCCUUAUCAAAUUGUGAAAUCUAAAGCUUAAACACAUCAAACGAAUAGAAAACAAUUGUUUUAUUUCUGGUUUCAUACAGGCAUUUCCUUAUGCAGAAAAUGGUGGAUAAAACUUGGUUGUAUAGCUAAUUAACCCUCUAAAUUGUAUGACAAUCGUAUAGAAUUUUGUUAUAUUGACAACAAUGUGUUGACAACAUGUAUGAAGAAUCUUGGUAUGAACAUAAUUGUUGAAACUCGUAACAAUUGUUUAUUAAAAUGGGCUAGUUACCAGUAUCUCUAGAAAUUGCAUGUUACACUAUCAAAAGCGUUACGUUAUUACGUAACACAAUCUUCGUUUUUUAUACUACAUUUUGAACUUAGCCAGUGUGAUGUUCUAUAAACAGGUACUGCAUCUAACGAGCAACACUCGAAUAUUUAUCACUGUCUGCGCAUGAGCAAAUGUUCAGUAGAAUAAUUAAUACCGUGUAUAAAUAUGUUAUAAUACGACAGUCGUACAGGAUAAAUCGUAUUAUAAAAACAGCUGAUGUACUCCUUGAAUUAAGUGUGAUACGUUAUCAUUACUAAAACAUGAGCUGCGUCGGAUAGAAAUCGACCUUAUACAAAUGAAUAUCAAUACAUCUGUUAACCUAUUUCGGGUUGAAAAAUCUCCUUGCAAAGUCUGUAACUAUUUGAAAAUUGAGUUGUUAUAAGACCCCUACAAAACAGAUCAAAAUUCUUCAUUAAUUUCGUAUUUGAAUGUUCAAAAAUAAAAACAAAAGGUCACAUGUUAUUGCUGUAUUGUAUUCCUUUGCAUUAAUACUAUCGCUUUGCAAUUAUACGAAUUAUGCAUGCUUAACAAUACACUAAUUAAUAGUACUAUGUUUGUUGUGUGACAUUUCUUUGUAUAAACAAAUUUAAAAAAAAUUAUCAUUCAUGCAAAGUAGUCUUAUGAUUAAUACAGUUUUAAUGUUUCAUGAAAGAACAUGUUGACAAUCAAUAAACUCAUCUUAGAUACCAGG